RNAcentral lists this long non-coding RNA (878 nucleotides) under Prunus persica (peach). RNAcentral's name for it is "long non-coding RNA (PPER_LNC006962)". Lineage: Eukaryota; Viridiplantae; Streptophyta; Magnoliopsida; Rosales; Rosaceae. The record is from RNAcentral.
GGCAAAACAUCAGAGCGACUACUAAGAAUUUACAAAAGAGUGAAUCUUUGUACAAAAUACAAAUCCUACAUCAAAGAAAGGCGCGGAAGAUGGGAAGUGGCCCGGUGGUGGAUUCCUGUGCACGUCUACUGCCUGGGGGCGCAAAACAACAAAAGGGGUGAGUGGACCCAAAAACAAAGCUUAGAAACUACCAUAUGAACAUACUAACCCCACUGUAAAAACAGUUAUACAAACUAGCUUAUUUUCUUUAUUUUUGAAAUCAGUGCAUGUAUAUAUAUAUACAUUUGAAAACAGUUUAAACUAUCACCUAGGUGUACCCUUAUUUCCGUCAAUUCCUUAUAUCCGUCAAUUCAUUGCAUCACCAUGGGUGACACAUACUCGCAGGUCUCAGUGACACGAAGUCAGUCCUAGCCGCAACUCGCAGGAUUCAGGGAACCGUAGUCCACCUUUAUCCGCAUUACUCGCUCCACACGAGUUCGAGUAACAAAGAACUCGUGGGGCAACUGUCAAGCAUGCUGACUAAACCGAAGGCAACAAAUAUAAUCGAAGGCAACAUUUAAUAUCUGGGUACCAUGUGGUUUAAGAAAAUAUAAAGUUUCUGAAGAAAAUCUGUUGAAUAAUUAACUGUCUGUAACCUUUAAAAUUCUGCUGCCAUUUAUCUGAUAAUUAACGAGAAUAUCUUUUCCUGUAUUCUUUAAAAGGAAAUUUCACUCGGCAGCAUGCAACAUAAAAUAUUUAACAGCAUAAAACAGCUUAUAACUGAAACUGAACUGCUUAAAUUCAUUUAUUAAAACAAAGAGUCCACUCACUGAUAGUCUGAGCUCGCUGGACCUCUUGAAGGUCCCUCCUGUGGGUCAACUAGUGCCCGGGUGCCUUAC